This 497-nucleotide ribosomal RNA is filed under the name uncultured bacterium. RNAcentral describes it as "partial 16S ribosomal RNA". It matches the Rfam family "Bacterial small subunit ribosomal RNA", at positions 28 to 507 of the family's 1533-position model. The record is from RNAcentral.
GAUGAACGCUGGCGGCGUGCCUAAUACAUGCAAGUCGUGCGAACAGACGAGGAGCUUGCUCCUCUGACGUUAGCGGCGGACGGGUGAGUAACACGUGGAUAACCUACCUAUAAGACUGGGAUAACUUCGGGAAACCGGAGCUAAUACCGGAUAAUAUAUUGAACCGCAUGGUUCAAUAGUGAAAGACGGUUUUGCUGUCACUUAUAGAUGGAUCCGCGCCGCAUUAGCCAGUUGGUAAGGUAACGGCUUACCAAGGCGACGAUGCGUAGCCGACCUGAGAGGGUGAUCGGCCACACUGGAACUGAGACACGGUCCAGACUCCUACGGGAGGCAGCAGUAGGGAAUCUUCCGCAAUGGGCGAAAGCCUGACGGAGCAACGCCGCGUGAGUGAUGAAGGUCUUCGGAUCGUAAAACUCUGUUAUUAGGGAAGAACAAAUGUGUAAGUAACUAUGCACGUCUUGACGGUACCUAAUCAGAAAGCCACGGCUAACUACGUG